CGCCUUGCCAGCCCGCUCAGAACUUAAAGGAAGUUGACGGGGCCCGCACAAGCGGUGGAGCAUGUGGUUAAUUCGAUGAUACGCGAGGAACCUUACCUGGGCUCGAACGUAAGAUGACUGUAGGUGAAAGCUUACAUCUCUUCGGAGCAUUUUACGAGGUGCUGCAUGGUUGUCGUCAGCUCGUGCCGUGAGGUGUCGGGUUAAGUCCCAUAACGAGCGCAACCCCUACCUUUAGUUGCCAUCAGGUAAUGCUGGGGACUCUAAAGGAACUGCCUACGCAAGUAGUGAGGAAGGCGGGGAUGACGUCAAAUCAGCACGGCCCUUACGUCCAGGGCUACACACGUGCUACAAUGGCCGAUACAGAGGGCAGCUACCUGGUGACAGGAUGCAAAUCUCCAAAGUCGGUCUCAGUUCGGAUCGGAGUCUGCAACCCGACUCCGUGAAGUUGGAUUCGCUAGUAAUCGCGCAUCAGCCAUGGCGCGGUGAAUACGUUCCCGGGCCUU
RNAcentral lists this ribosomal RNA (503 nucleotides) under uncultured Sphingobacteriales bacterium. RNAcentral describes it as "bacterial SSU rRNA". It matches the Rfam family "Bacterial small subunit ribosomal RNA", at positions 903 to 1382 of the family's 1533-position model. The record is from RNAcentral. Lineage: Bacteria; Pseudomonadati; Bacteroidota; Sphingobacteriia; Sphingobacteriales.